AAGCUGAUGGUGUUUUCCUUGGCAUUUGUUACCUGAUUUAGAUAGAGGUGGCUUAAGCUUUCAAGAGAACUGAGAUCUCUUUUCUUUGGCUUGUACUUUCUCCCAACUCAAGGGCAGCUAUCAUCACUGGCUGCUAGAAACCCCACUCAUCUGGGGUGUUUUCCAUCUCUCCUGCUUUCAGGCAGAUCUGUGCCCUGGGCAGAGCAGCCUUCUCCUGAUUAUCAGCUGUGGCAUCAAACCACCAAUGCCCGCAGACUAUGCUUACCCCCUCCCAUAGGUGACGAUUUCAUUCCUUAUCCUGGCUGAGGCAAGGAAAAAAAGCCAUCUCCUGACUCACUUUCAACUUUCCAAAAUGGUGCUUCAGCAAACCUACUGGACGGAUCUGGGAAUUAAUCUGUGAUUCUGCAAAGCAGUCAGAAGUGUGGAGAUGUGACAAAGAGUUGUCCCAGAUGUUCAUGAAUAUAGGCCAUGAGUACACAGUAGGUGCUCCAUAGUGGCUGGUUGGGAGUUGCCUUCAGGGCUGAGCUCUGGGAGGCUGCCCUAUAAGCCAGUAUGUGCCUCAAAGGUGGGCCCGCCCUGCUGUGUUUAGAGGGGGCAUGGUGUAGUCAGUAGGAGUGAGGACCUGCAGCCAGAUGACCUGGCUCUAUCACUUAUGACCUUGGGCAAGUUGCUUAUCUGCUCUGUGUCUCAGGUUCCUCAUCUGUAGAAUGAUAGUAGUAAUAGUACCUACCUCAUAGAGUUGUUAGGAGGAUUAAACAGGUUAGCACGUGUAAAAUGCUUGGGACAACUAAACCUUGGCACAUGGUGCUAAUUAUUAGAAGCAUUAUUAGUACAUAGUGCUAUCAAAGGUCAUUACCACUUGGAGCCCCUUGCCCUGGGACCCAUGCUUUAGAGGGCCCUGCUCUGGCCCUCUCUUAUGUCCCUUUCCACAGGGUAUGGAGCUCUGAAGGGCCAAGAACACAGGCCCAUACCCCUCCUUCUAGACCAUUCUUCAGUGGUAGCCAGGACCCUGGAAUUCCCUGCUUAGACAGUCUAGAGCUCCCAGAACCUGUGUGGACACUUUCCCUGGGUCUGCUUCCUAAGGGUGGGCCCCACUACCCUGUGAACCCUCAGGUGUCCAAGAGUGACUGAGGUGAGGGUGUGGACAGAACCGGGUCCUGAGGACUUCAGUAUCCCACCACAGCUACACAACCAUGGUGGGAUGCUGAAGUCCCCAGGACCAUAUGCAUGUGGACCCUUGUGGACCUUGAUGGUGUCGACACCGAUGUGUGUGCCAUCCUUUGCCCCGUAGUGCAACAUGUCUUUUAUCUACCAUUUGUAGAUUUGGUUUGUAACUUUUAAAUAUUUAGUCAUAUGAUAGGUGGGCUUUUUAAAAAAUUUGCCUGAGGCUCUGCAGAUUUUAAGAGUAUACCUGGUGAUAAUAAUCUUGCUGGUAAAGAAUGAGAUCAAGAAAGGUCGCUCUGAGUUGAAGCUCUAGUGACAGCAUCUAGAAGUGAUAGUAUUACUGUAUUGACUUAUGUUCACACUUCUCCAUCUACUCACUUUGGCCAAGUGGAUGAAGGGGAAAGUGUUGGAAACUUAGCUGCAAAGAACAAGACAAAUGGUGUUUGCAGAUAUGGCAAGGGUUCUGGAGUCUGCUGCCUAGUGCAUUCAUCCCUUGCCCCGGUUAACUAUGAGUUCACCAUGGAUGUCCUCUGCUCACCACCUGCUGCUGCUCUUAGGGACAGCUCUUAGCUCCUUCUGUUUUCAUCCACCCACCUCACUUCAGAUUCUGCUGGAAGCUUGUGUUUUUGCUAUAUUAAACCUCCCUUGAAGUGGUCCACAGGAGCCCAUCUUCAGGACCCCUGUUAUCCAAACGAGCACUGUUGUCUGUACGUCUGGAGUUCUCACCAGCCACAAUCAAUCCAAAUAAUUCACAUUAACACAAACAGUUAUAUUUCCACACAAGUUGGAUUUGUUCUCUCAUUUCACUCUUCUGCCUCCGCUCUCCAAAUGAUCUUCAGCUCAAUGUGCUCUCGUUUCAACAUGAUAUACAGCACACUGAAUGCACCUGAGCCUCGACCCGUGUUCCCACAAUUGCUGGGCACCUUGCUAAGGGGGCGUGGCACAGUCAGCCCGCAACUGUGAUGAAAGAAAGCCUCCAGGCAUCGGAUAUGGUGCAGUGUGAUGGAAAGCACACAGGCACACUUGUGAGUUUGAAUGCCUGGCUCCACCACCAACUUGCUGUGUGUCUUUGGACCAGUUACUUAACUUCUCUUGAGUUGUGGGUUCUAUGUGUAUAAAAUGAGGAAAAUAAUGCUGACCUUUCGGCUGUGUGAGGAUUUAAAGAAAUGUCAUAUGUAAAGCCCCCGGCACAGCACCUGGCACAGAGAGAUUCUCAAUAAAUGUAAAGACAAGGACUUGAUUUAUCUUUGAUUCUCGGCAGCCCACCCGGUGCCUCUCACAAUCCUUAUUGGUUUUCACCUUUAAGCUGUGAGGAGCUGACUUUAUGGGAGGGAGUGGGCUGAAUUUAGAGGCACAAGAAACAGUAGAUCCACAGACUGAGCCCCAGACAGAGCUGCCUCUCUUGACGCAUCUCUCAUGCUUAGCUUCCCUCUUUUGGCUGGAAAUGUCACCCUUGAAAUUCAGGCUUACAUCUGAGCUGGGCAGAAGCUCUGUGGGCCUGGGGAACCAUGCAUAUGUUCAGCGUAUUGCCUUGGCAAGGCUUCAGGGAGUCUCGUGUGGCCACUUACGACACGCGUCCUUUAUUCUUUUGACCACUUAUGUUAGAACUGCUGAUGCGCUUUAAUCUCUUGGAUGAAUAUUCAUUCCUGUCUGUCCAAGAGAGAUGCGUAAUAGAAGUGGAAAUGCAGAAACUGUAAAGGCUUGUAAAUGGCAAAGAGGAGGAAAUCGGCUCUCUUAGGGAGGCAGCUGGAAGAAGGGUUAAAGCGGGGUCGGCUUUCAGCCGAUGCUCUCCUGGACAAAUGUAGAGCAUGCUAAUGGGCUGAUUGAUUCUUGUCGCUCUGGGAAAUCUCCCACACAGAGAACAGAGGCCCGAUCUGGGCCUCAGAUUGGCUGUUUGUUCUUUAAAUGUGAUUGUGGGUAGAUAGGGCUUGUUUUUUACCCUGUGCGUUGUCUCCUUUGGAAUCUCUCAUGUCAAAGGAAGGUAAAUAUCAGGUACUCAUAUGUUUUGCUGUUUGUAGCAGAUGCCACUGAAGAAAUUGAAGACGGCUGGGUGUGUUGAAAUCAUUUUAGCCCAACAGGGCUGCUUGGAGUAAUUUCCCUGGAAACCUAUGAAAAGGGUUUUCAAGUUGAACUCGAGACAGUUGUAAAUGUGUCCUUUUGUUGGAAAGCAGAAGGUGAAUGCUAAUGCUGAGAGGGACUUGGGGAGCCAAAUGAGUUCUUGUCUUCAAAGCUCUUAGAAGCUCUGCUUUCCACUCCUCUCUCUCUCUUCUACGCCUACUUAGAGUACCAUUUGAAGCCGGUUCUGUAGGAUCAGAACUCGAAAGUGUGAGGCCUGUCCUGUGGCCGGCAGACAGGCAGAGUGACCCUGGGCCAGUCAGUUCACCUCUGCCUCUUGGGCCUGGUGUCUGCAGAAUCACAAAAUGGACUGGUGUGAAGAGGUGCACAACAGCAGAGGAGCCGAGGAUGGGACACUGGGAGCGGAAGUGGAGAAACAAAGGCCUAGCUGUCAAGUGUCAUGGUUCUUGCCACAACUCAGUCACCACCUAGCUGCCUCGAAGAAUGGAGCUGCGGUUCUCUUACAGAGUCCAUGAGGUUUGCUUCAGAGGACCACCUCAGUUCUGCCUCCUUCCCUCUCCAGUCUGAACCUGACUCUGGGCCCAGCACCCCUGCCCCUCCCAGUUGCCUCAUGUCGGGUUUGCUCACCCUUGCCCGGAUUUUUAAGGUGAGCAGUUCUGUGGGACUGUCUGCUUGGCUUUCCGUUCCAGCUGUGCUCCUGACUGUCUUUUAGACCCCACUUGACUCAACCUCUGUGCUCUUCCCAGAUAUCCAGAAGCCCUGCUGUGUCCAGCCCCUAGGUCCCAAUUCAUCUAGGAAAAAGGUUUAAAAUAUACCAUAACCCUUUAUACAUUUAAAGGGCAUUCUUUUGACCAGUGAGACCUCCAGUGCCUUCCACGUACCUAUAAUACCCAUAGGUCUGCCACUCCUGCCUUGAAUAAAACAACUAACUGCCUUCUUGACGGAAACCUAUGCUAACAAAGUGCAUAUCCAUAGAAAAAUAAGCGCCAUUAAAACUGUAGUGAAAUGGGGACCCUAGAAGCUGCACUUUUCACAUGGAAAUUAAUGGAUAGGAGAAAUAGCGGCUUCUGCUGACGAGGAAAUGUGAUAUGGGGUGCUAAGACUAACAGCUGAUUGUCUAAAUGAAGAAAGAAAAAUGUGCCUCACAACUGAUAUUCAUCCCCUUACAAAAAAAAAAAAAGAAAA
Molecule: long non-coding RNA, 4425 nt
Organism: Cercocebus atys (sooty mangabey)
Lineage: Eukaryota; Metazoa; Chordata; Mammalia; Primates; Cercopithecidae
Exons: 2
Source: RefSeq, a predicted model, not a curated record